CACGCUGUAAACGAUGGAUGCUAGCUGUUAUCGGUAUCGACCCCGGUAGUAGCGAAGCUAACGCGUUAAGCAUCCCGCCUGUGGAGUACGGUCGCAAGACUAAAACAUAAAGGAAUUGACGGGGACCCGCACAAGCGGUGGAGCGUGUUGUUUAAUUCGAUGGUAAGCGAAGAACCUUACCCAGGUUUGACAUCCUUGGAAUUUUUACGAAAGUAGAGAGUGCUUUAUUGAACCAAGUGACAGGUGA
RNAcentral lists this ribosomal RNA (247 nucleotides) under uncultured Candidatus Saccharibacteria bacterium. Its description in RNAcentral is "partial 16S ribosomal RNA". It matches the Rfam family "Bacterial small subunit ribosomal RNA", at positions 796 to 1041 of the family's 1533-position model. Lineage: Bacteria; Candidatus Saccharimonadota. The record is from RNAcentral.